GGCGUUCUGCUUCGCUUCUUCGACACGUUCUGCUUCACUUCACUCUGCUUCGCUUCACUCUGCUUCGCUUCUUCUACACGUUCUGCUUCACUUCACUCUGCUUCGCUUCUUCUUCUUCCGUUAAACCUUAUGCUUCACUUCACGCUCAACACAAUCGUUCGUGAGCCAAUUUGCGAUGCAAGCAUUUCGAUAAGUGUUCAAUUUGGGGUUAGUAAUUUCGCAAGAGCUUUUUAAGCUUUCUCUUCUCUACGCUGUUCUUCGAUCGAUUGCUUUCAUUUAAGGUGAGUUUUCGAUUCAUAUCCAUUUCGAUUCCCUAUUUUUGCUUUGUAUAAUAUUUCAUUAUAAUUUUUUUGUUCAAGGCUUUAGGUGGAACAAAUUUUAGGGUUUAGGCUGUGUUCUGUGCUAUGGUUGCUAGGAAACUGUUACCUUUAUAAACUCUUAUUUUUAGUAUGCUAGGAUUCUCUAUUCGAUUGAUUCAAAUGCAAUAUCUGAUAAGAUAUUGAGAAUAUGUGUAUUUAAUUAUACUUUCGGGAGUCAUGCCCCUUUUUUUCGAUAAGCUAAGUCGAUCCAAAUAUACAUGUUAGCUUUGACUUCUUUAACGUGGUCAUGUCUAGAAAAUCCUGCUAUAAGGAUGAUGAUAACGAUGACUUCUCAUCUCGAAGCAAAGGACUAAAGCAAAAAGACUUUUUUUUUUUAUUUUUUAUUUUAUUUUAUUUUUUUUUUUUCCAUUUCAAUCAAUUAAUACUGUGUUUGCUACUCUGCAUAUAGUGCAAUUGAUGUUAAAAGUAGGAAGAAUUUUUCCUGUAACCCCUUACCAAUAAAUACUCUCUUAGUUACAUAUCAUUUUCUAUUACAAACGAUGUAAUAAUUUCAAUAAAAUUAUACAGGUGAAUGGCUGAAAGGUCGAAAGGCAUUCAAAACUCACCAUUAUAUUUUGAAAGAACUUUUUUUUAGUGAAGUGAAAAACAUUAUUUUCUUAGACUUUUAUACUUUGUUCUCAGAUAACAUUUGGAUUUUCUGCUAAUAUUCCAACCACAUUUCCAUAAACUUAAAUGAAUAUCUUGUUUAAAAAUAUGCUACUGGCUAGUAUGCCACAUAAAUGCUAAUAGGAGGCAGUGUUUUGAGAGGGGGAAAGGAGAGAGUACCAUUUUAAGUGAAGCAAAAUUUCAUAGAUUCUAAUUAUUAAUAUUAGUCAGGUUACUCAGGUAUAAAGAUCAUCUGUACUGCUUUCUUAACUACGCACUGAAUUAGGUAUAAACCUUAGCAUUUAGUUGUUGUACCAAGACUUUCACAAUUUUAAUUCCAUCAUCAAUUAUUUCUGAACAACUAUACAUAUAUGGAUAAACAGAUUCUAGGAUGCACUAGUUUAGUAUUUUUUUGUCUCUACUUAAAUGACCAAAAAAUGACGUGAUUAUCAAGAUCUGUUACAGCACAAUCUGUCAUUGGCCACUGUACCAGCUCCCAACUCUUGAAAUGUAUUCACAGGUUCUGGUCACCCUUGUAGUGACCUCAUCAAGAGAUCCAGGCAUAGUCCCUCGUAAUGCUCAUCCUCCGGAGCUAGAUGAUUAUUACUGGACUGACAGCAUCAAUGGAACAAAUCCAUUGUCACGCUUACCACGAACAAAGGAUGUAAUUGUCAAUGGUAUAAUAGUGAAAACCAAAUAUUGGUGCCUCGUUGUAUUUGUUUGAAAACAGAAAGGCUUACUAAUCUUGUACCAAAAAAAUAUGUGAACACAUAAUUACAAUUGAAUGAUAAUUUCAGUGGCAAAGGCAAUAAAUGAUUUAUUUCAAGUAAUUUAUAAAAUAAUGAAAAUUUAAUUAAAUACUUCCAAUCCAUAUCAGCUCAUGGUCAUGUACACCAAUGAAGCUAUAAGGAUGAGAUUUUUCUAUAUAAAAAUCUUUCAAAAAAUCUUAUAUAGGGUUCUUGAUUGAUUUUUUAAAAAUUAAAUUGGUAAAAAUGAAAAUUUAGCUGCGUCUGUGCGUCGAAGCCUUACUGAUUAUACUUUGAUGAGAAAGUUUCUUGGGAAUGAAACCAUGCUUUGUGCAGUCUAGGUUCUUGCAAAUUCUGAAUAUUUAUAGUGGAGAGAUAUCAAUUUGUUUUAUUAGUAGGAAAGAUUACAAUGGCAAAACAAUGAUCAAACCUAAGUUUUUGUGUAUCCUCCCAAAAAAAAAAAAACCUAGGCUAACCCUAGUGGUUUCAUUUAUGUUGUUGUAUUGUGAACUCCUUGUUAUGAAAACUCUUGGCAUUUGUUCAGGUUCUCUAAUUUAACUGGGACUGACUAUAGUGAAAGGGCAAUCAGCCUUGCCCAAAGCCUUGCUAAUCGGGAUUGAUUUUCCAACAUCAAAUUUAUGGUCGAUGAUGUCCUCGAGACAAAGUUGGGACAAGAGUUUCAACUUGUUAUGGAUAAAGGAACGCUAGAUGAUUGCAUCCUGAUGGUCCUGUCAAGAGAUUGGUUGCUCCUGGUGGAAUACUUGUAAGCACUUCUAAAUUUAUUCCAAGUUCUAGGCGUUUGUGGGUCGUGGCAUGAACUGUGCAUGCCUAUUACUUAGUGGGAUUCUUUUAUUCAUUAAAAAAGAAGUCAUUAUUAUUUUGAUCUUGA
Non-coding RNA from Cajanus cajan (pigeon pea), 2600 nucleotides. NCBI's taxonomy places the organism in Eukaryota, Viridiplantae, Streptophyta, Magnoliopsida, Fabales, Fabaceae. The record is from RefSeq and is a predicted model, not a curated record.